UGAUCCACAGAAAUUCACCUCUGCCACUAUUCUUACAAUUACUCUCUAGGUGAGAUGAAGAUAUCAUCUUUGAAACUUUUGAAUUCCAAGUGCAGCUGGAAAUCAAGUUCCUCUUUCCUGAAGAGAGUAAGCCUGUGAUCUUUGCAAUUUCAGAAGAUUAGAAGGAAAAAACCAAAACCUAAAGCAAAAACAACCAACCCAAAACAGGUCAAAAUACUGAAAGCAUUGUUAGAGGACUCAGGGAUGACAGAAGCAGUGUCCCUGCUAACUGCAGAGGAUUGUGGAUUUGCUCCAGCUGGGAAGCUUCCAGAAGGACCAAAAUAA
This 324-nucleotide long non-coding RNA is filed under the name Parus major (Great Tit). RNAcentral describes it as "lncRNA (ENSPMJG00000014861.1)". Lineage: Eukaryota; Metazoa; Chordata; Aves; Passeriformes; Paridae. The record is from RNAcentral.